This 766-nucleotide long non-coding RNA is filed under the name Gallus gallus (chicken). Its description in RNAcentral is "lncRNA (ENSGALG00010022061.1)". Lineage: Eukaryota; Metazoa; Chordata; Aves; Galliformes; Phasianidae. The record is from RNAcentral.
AGCAAAUAGACAAAGCCUACUCGAGCGGGCAGAAUGUACGAGACUCUGUUUUUCCUCCCAGAGCCGAAGUUAAAAAUUAUUCAGUGUAGAAUUCCUGGCCUGUGAACCAGAGGCUCCGCACUGUACCAGGCAAAGAUUUUCACCAGCAUUCCGCUUAGCCAAGGCGGAGAUAACAGCGCUGCGAAGCACUUGGAAUAAAUCCGCUCUUCCGAGAUUCCUCCGGGGUGCUCCUCUUCAGCUCUGUUUUCCCCGGGCUUCGUAAGUGCCAUGGCCUGCUGGUGGAGCAAGGCGGGAGGGAGGAGAGCUGCGCGCCGGCGGUGUGCCAGCAUCCCACGUCACGUUGGCCUAAAGAGGUGAUCGCCUCUCGAGAUGAAAUCAGCACACGAGAUUCUAGGCCGUAUGUAAAAGGUAUGCAUAUGUGCAUAGAUACAAGUGUACAUAUAGGUAGCAUGCUAGGCUUGACAUAAUUAAAACUUAAAAAAAACACACAGGGCAUCCAGAGGCCGUAGAGGGCAACAGGAAAUCUCUCAUCAGCUUCCCUGGAAUUUGGAUUCUGAUUAGUAUCUGCUAUCUCUUAUAGAAAUGGUUUUUGUUGUUGUUGUUGUUUGGUUUGGUUUGGUUUGGUUUCACUUUGGCUUAAGUGAAGAGGAUAAUUAUUGCUAAUGAUUUAUAGGGCGGUGACAGGUAGAAAGAGAACGCGUUUCAGAAGAAUGGCAAACGGUUUUCUUGGGAGAAACCACGCUCGGGCGGCUCUCUGACCUCGUCG